Molecule: ribosomal RNA, 490 nt
Filed under: uncultured bacterium
Lineage: Bacteria
Description: partial 16S ribosomal RNA
Rfam family: Bacterial small subunit ribosomal RNA
Source: RNAcentral
AUUGAACGCUGGCGGCAUGCUUUACACAUGCAAGUCGAACGGCAGCGGGGUAGUGCUUGCACUACUGCCGGCGAGUGGCGAACGGGUGAGUAAUAUAUCGGAACGUACCGAGUAAUGGGGGAUAACCAAUCGAAAGAUUGGCUAAUACCGCAUACGUCCUGAGGGAGAAAGCGGGGGAUCGCAAGACCUCGCGUUAUUCGAGCGGCCGAUAACUGAUUAGCUAGUUGGUGGGGUAAAGGCCUACCAAGGCGACGAUCAGUAGCGGGUCUGAGAGGACGAUCCGCCACACUGGGACUGAGACACGGCCCAGACUCCUACGGGAGGCAGCAGUGGGGAAUUUUGGACAAUGGGGGCAACCCUGAUCCAGCCAUGCCGCGUGUACGAAGAAGGCCUUCGGGUUGUAAAGUACUUUUGUUAGGGAAGAAAAGGGAAGUGCUAAUACCACUUUUUGCUGACGGUACCUAAAGAAUAAGCACCGGCUAACUACGUG